AAGGCUGUACACUGGCCUAUAGUUGGUAACUUCUAUGUCAUUUGGUCUAUUGUGGAGAGUUGUCUGAUUGGAAAUCAUACCACAUCUUCUUUUUUUUAUAUAACAAUGUGACAAACUGAUUUUUUUUGUUAAAAAGAAGGAAAAUUUAAACGAAAACUAUGUAAGUUGGCGAAAAAAAAAAUUGAAAGUGGUGAAAAAAUAAAACUGCAUAAAUUUACCAAUGCAAGGAAAUACAGGGCUUCCCACUCACACUUCAAUGCACCCUACCCUUUGUAUUCGCUUUUCCAAUGCCCUCUUCUCACAUUUCUUACAAAAUUGAAAGUGGCGAAAAAUAACUUGUUUUGGCGAAAGAGGUGGCGUAAAAGAAAAUGGACCCAAGGGAAACCUUGGUCAUUGGCCACAUUUUUUAAAACUAAAUACCCCAAUAAUGAUUGUGGUAAAGUUUGGUUAAAUUUGGCCCAGUGGUUUCAGAGGACAAGAUUUUUGUAAAAGUUAAUGGACGACAAUGGACGACAAAUGAUGAGAUAAUCUCUCUUGGCCUUUUGGCUAGAUCAACAGACAAUGGACCCAAAGUGAUGACAGAUCUCACAUGGCCUUUUAGAUCUGCUGAGAUACAACUUUUAUUUUUUAGACAUGAUAAGAAUUUGUUGCAAAACAAAUAAUCAGUCUGUGUCACGGUCACAUCUUUCCUAUAUCUAAAGACUUGAUAGAUAACUGUAUUAUACAUGGAAUGUAUAUCAAUGUAAUUAGUUCUUUUAAAUACCACAUAUCAUGCAUAUCUUGUAAUUAGACAGUACCCAAACAUCACAACAAAUCCAAACAAGAAAUAUAGGGUUUGUAAUGUUCAAAAAAAUAUAUAAAGAAAUACAUAUACAAAGAAAAACAUUAACCAACAUAUCAAUAAAAAUAAAAUGGUAGUCCAUAUGUGUGAAUAGUGUAACAAGGUCAUACAAUCAGUAAAAUAUGUAACCUUUGAUAAUAAUAUGAGCAUUAAAUAAGACAAAAACUGAUCUGACCUGACUCAUCAAGUAGAAAGAAAAGCCACUUUAGAAAACAAUGAAGAAAAUAAAAGUAAUGAUAUAAUUACAAUGUUUACUGAAAAUUGUACAGUUGUUUUCAUUGGCAUCCACAGAGUAGUUUUGUAGGUCCUUCUGUUCCAGGUGAUAAAACCAAGAUAUAUUCCAUGCAGUGGGAAUCAAAGUAGAGACAAUUUAAUGGAAAGAAUAGUAUAUAUUAGCACACAAUUUUAUUUCGGGGCCAGCUGAGGACCACCUCCGGGUGCGGGAUUUUCUAUCUGCAUUGAAGACCCAUUGGUGGCCUUCGGCUGUUGUCUGCUCUUUAGUCGGUUUGUUGUCUCUUUAACAUAUUCCCUAUUUCCAUUCCCAAUUUUAUUU
Long non-coding RNA from Mytilus californianus (California mussel), 1394 nucleotides. RefSeq lists it as uncharacterized. The record is from RefSeq and is a predicted model, not a curated record. The transcript is spliced from 2 exons. NCBI's taxonomy places the organism in Eukaryota, Metazoa, Mollusca, Bivalvia, Mytilida, Mytilidae.